RNAcentral lists this ribosomal RNA (498 nucleotides) under uncultured bacterium. RNAcentral describes it as "partial 16S ribosomal RNA". It matches the Rfam family "Bacterial small subunit ribosomal RNA", at positions 30 to 523 of the family's 1533-position model. The record is from RNAcentral.
AUUGAACGCUGGCGGCAUGCCUUACACAUGCAAGUCGAACGGCAGCACGGGGCAACCUGGUGGCGAGUGGCGAACGGGUGAGUAAUGUAUCGGAACGUACCAUUGAGUGGGGGAUAACGUAGCGAAAGUUACGCUAAUACCGCAUAUUCUCUCCGGAGGAAAGCAGGGGACCGCAAAGCCUUGCGCUCUUUGAGCGGCCGAUAUCAGAUUAGCUAGUUGGUGAGGUAAAGGCUCACCAAGGCGACGAUCUGUAGCGGGUCUGAGAGGAUGAUCCGCCACACUGGAACUGAGAAACGGUCCAGACUCCUACGGGAGGCAGCAGUGGGGAAUUUUGGACAAUGGGGGCAACCCUGAUCCAGCCAUGCCGCGUGAGUGAAGAAGGCCUUCGGGUUGUAAAGCUCUUUCGGCCGGGAAAAAAUCGCAUGGGCUAAUACCCUGUGUGGAUGAUGGUACCGGAAUAAGAAGCACCGGCUAACUACGUGCCAGCCGCCGCGGUAA